GUGCUUGCUUUAGCAGCACAAGUACUAAAAUUGGAAUGAUACAGAGAAGAUUAGCAUGGCCCCUGAGCAAGGAUGACAUGCAAAUUCAUAAAGCAUUCCAUUUUUUU
Molecule: small nuclear RNA, 107 nt
Filed under: Castor canadensis (American beaver)
Lineage: Eukaryota; Metazoa; Chordata; Mammalia; Rodentia; Castoridae
Source: RNAcentral